AAAUUGAAGAGUUUGAUCAUGGCUCAGAUUGAACGCUGGCGGCAGGCCUAACACAUGCAAGUCGAACGGUAACAGGAAGCAGCUUGCUGCUUUGCUGACGAGUGGCGGACGGGUGAGUAAUGUCUGGGAAACUGCCUGAUGGAGGGGGAUAACUACUGGAAACGGUGGCUAAUACCGCAUAACGUCGCAAGACCAAAGAGGGGGACCUUCGGGCCUCUUGCCAUCAGAUGUGCCCAGAUGGGAUUAGCUUGUUGGUGAGGUAACGGCUCACCAAGGCGACGAUCCCUAGCUGGUCUGAGAGGAUGACCAGCCACACUGGAACUGAGACACGGUCCAGACUCCUACGGGAGGCAGCAGUGGGGAAUAUUGCACAAUGGGCGCAAGCCUGAUGCAGCCAUGCCGCGUGUAUGAAGAAGGCCUUCGGGUUGUAAAGUACUUUCAGCGGGGAGGAAGGUGUUGUGGUUAAUAACCGCAGCAAUUGACGUUACCCGCAGAAGAAGCACCGGCUAACUCCGUGCCAGCAGCCGCGGUAAUACGGAGGGUGCAAGCGUUAAUCGGAAUUACUGGGCGUAAAGCGCACGCAGGCGGUCUGUCAAGUCGGAUGUGAAAUCCCCGGGCUCAACCUGGGAACUGCAUUCGAAACUGGCAGGCUUGAGUCUUGUAGAGGGGGUAGAAUUCCAGGUGUAGCGGUGAAAUGCGUAGAGAUCUGGAGGAAUACCGGUGGCGAAGGCGGCCCCCUGGACAAAGACUGACGCUCAGGUGCGAAAGCGUGGGGAGCAAACAGGAUUAGAUACCCUGGUAGUCCACGCCGUAAACGAUGUCUACUUGGAGGUUGUGCCCUUGAGGCGUGGCUUCCGGAGCUAACGCGUUAAGUAGACCGCCUGGGGAAUACGGCCGCAAGGUUAAAACUCAAAUGAAUUGACGGGGGCCCGCACAAGCGGUGGAGCAUGUGGUUUAAUUCGAUGCAACGCGAAGAACCUUACCUGGUCUUGACAUCCACAGAACUUUCCAGAGAUGGAUUGGUGCCUUCGGGAACUGUGAGACAGGUGCUGCAUGGCUGUCGUCAGCUCGUGUUGUGAAAUGUUGGGUUAAGUCCCGCAACGAGCGCAACCCUUAUCCUUUGUUGCCAGCGGUCCGGCCGGGAACUCAAAGGAGACUGCCAGUGAUAAACUGGAGGAAGGUGGGGAUGACGUCAAGUCAUCAUGGCCCUUACGACCAGGGCUACACACGUGCUACAAUGGCGCAUACAAAGAGAAGCGACCUCGCGAGAGCAAGCGGACCUCAUAAAGUGCGUCGUAGUCCGGAUUGGAGUCUGCAACUCGACUCCAUGAAGUCGGAAUCGCUAGUAAUCGUGGAUCAGAAUGCCACGGUGAAUACGUUCCCGGGCCUUGUACACACCGCCCGUCACACCAUGGGAGUGGGUUGCAAAAGAAGUAGGUAGCUUAACCUUCGGGAGGGCGCUUACCACUUUGUGAUUCAUGACUGGGGUGAAGUCGUAACAAGGUAACCGUAGGGGAACCUGCGGUUGGAUCACCUCCUUA
RNAcentral lists this ribosomal RNA (1541 nucleotides) under Salmonella enterica subsp. enterica serovar Typhi. RNAcentral describes it as "bacterial SSU rRNA". It matches the Rfam family "Bacterial small subunit ribosomal RNA". The record is from RNAcentral. Lineage: Bacteria; Pseudomonadati; Pseudomonadota; Gammaproteobacteria; Enterobacterales; Enterobacteriaceae.